RNAcentral lists this ribosomal RNA (253 nucleotides) under uncultured bacterium. RNAcentral's name for it is "partial 16S ribosomal RNA". It matches the Rfam family "Bacterial small subunit ribosomal RNA", at positions 524 to 776 of the family's 1533-position model. The record is from RNAcentral.
UACGUAGGUGGCGAGCGUUGUCCGGAUUUACUGUGCGUAAAGAGCGCGCAGGCGGUCGUUCAAGUCGCGUGUGAAAGCCCCCGGCUCAACUGGGGAGGGUCACGCGAUACUGCUCGACUCGAAGGCAGGAGAGGGAAGUGGAAUUCCCGGUGUAGUGGUGAAAUGCGUAGAUAUCGGAAGGAACAUCAGUGGCGAAAGCGACUUCCUGGACCAGUACCGACGUUCAGGCACGAAAGCGUGGGGAGCAAACAGG